This 497-nucleotide ribosomal RNA is filed under the name uncultured bacterium. Its description in RNAcentral is "partial 16S ribosomal RNA". It matches the Rfam family "Bacterial small subunit ribosomal RNA", at positions 28 to 507 of the family's 1533-position model. The record is from RNAcentral.
GAUGAACGCUGGCGGCGUGCCUAAUACACGCAAGUCGAGCGAACGGACGAGAAGCUUGCUUCUCUGAUGUUAGCGGCGGACGGGUGAGUAACACGUGGAUAACCUACCUAUAAGACUGGGAUAACUUCGGGAAACCGGAGCUAAUACCGGAUGAUAUUUUGAACCGCAUGGUUCAAAAGUGAAAGACGGUCUUGCUGUCACUUAUAGAUGGAUCCGCGCUGCAUUAGCUAGUUGGUAAGGUAACGGCUUACCAAGGCAACGAUGCAUAGCCGACCUGAGAGGGUGAUCGGCCACACUGGAACUGAGACACGGUCCAGACUCCUACGGGAGGCAGCAGUAGGGAAUCUUCCGCAAUGGGCGAAAGCCUGACGGAGCAACGCCGCGUGAGUGAUGAAGGUCUUCGGAUCGUAAAACUCUGUUAUUAGGGAAGAACAUAUGUGUAAGUAACUGUGCACAUCUUGACGGUACCUAAUCAGAAAGCCACGGCUAACUACGUG